This 393-nucleotide ribosomal RNA is filed under the name Triticum aestivum (bread wheat). RNAcentral's name for it is "partial small subunit ribosomal RNA". The record is from RNAcentral. Lineage: Eukaryota; Viridiplantae; Streptophyta; Magnoliopsida; Poales; Poaceae.
AUGUCGAUGGAUGCAACCGGUGGUUACCAAUGCUACAACCCCGUCCUCGGCACUGUGGUGACACGCACACCGGCGAUGCUACAACGGCAAGACGAAGUGCUACUACCGGCAAGUUUUUUUUGCUGGAUCCGGCUUCGUUUUUUGCUGGAAUCGACUAAUUUUUUUUGCUUCAACAGAUUACUGGACUUUUUGUUGCUUAAAUUUGUUUUGCUGAAAUCGAUGUUAAUUUUUGCUGUAACUGGCUUCGUUUUUUGCUGGAAUCGGCUAAUUUUUUGCUUCAACGUAUUACUUGAUUUUUUUGGUGCUGAAUUUUGUUUCCUGGAACCGAUGUUAAUUUUUUUGCUGGAACCGGCUUCGUUUUUGCUUCAACCAUGUAUUGGAGUUUUUGGCUAG